GGAGAAUGCACAAAUAUUCACACUCUAGUAUUAUUGAAGAAAAAAUUCUAGAAUUUCCCAGAGUUCUCUCUCUCUCUCUCUCCUCUCUCUCUCUCUCCUCUCUUUUCUCUCUCUUUCCCUCUCUCUCUCUGUCAACACAUUUCCCUCAGCUUUCUGAAGCAGGAGCAAGAACAGGAACAGAGCAUCCUGGAAAAUCCAACACUCAUCUGCCGACUCCUCUCCAGGACCUCAGCAUGGCUCCAGUACUCGUUGUCCACAUGCUAGUUUAACAUCCUUCGAUUUGCUGUUACCCUUGGCUAUUUCAGAUCAACCUUAAAAUUUAGACCUUGUUUCUUGCUUGCUUUAGGGUCCUACAACUUGGACUUUGUUUUGUUUUAUUAUUUUUAUUUUUGCUUUAUGGCAUGAAGUCUAAAUUCUUUAACAAAGAAUCCAUAACCCUUCGUGGUCUGACUCUGCGCUAUCUUCCCUGCCUCUCCUCUGCCCUGCCUGCACCUUUUCCACACUGGCCUGACAUUCCAUUCUUCCUUGCAUGCCACACACUGUUCUGAGAUACUAGACCUUUGCAAUGCAGUAUCUUCUGUCUUGAAUGUAAUCAACCAUAUUCUACUCUUUAGCCCAAAUCCUAACAAAAUUCGUCUCUCAUCUGUGAUCGCUGCACCAAUCACAGUGAGUAUGGCUUAGGGUACGUGUCAGCCCCUCGUGUUAAAAUG
Molecule: long non-coding RNA, 710 nt
Filed under: Fukomys damarensis (Damara mole-rat)
Lineage: Eukaryota; Metazoa; Chordata; Mammalia; Rodentia; Bathyergidae
Description: lncRNA (ENSFDAG00000032845.1)
Source: RNAcentral